GUGUCAGCAGCCGCGGUAAUACAGAGGGUGCAAGCGUUGUUCGGAAUUAUUGGGCGUAAAGCGCGUGUAGGCGGUCCUGCAAGUUGGGUGUGAAAGCCCUCGGCUUAACCGAGGAAGUGCGCCCAAAACUACAGAACUUGAGUACCGGAGAGGGUGGCGGAAUUCCCGGUGUAGAGGUGAAAUUCGUAGAUAUCGGGAGGAACACCAGUGGCGAAGGCGGCCACCUGGACGGAUACUGACGCUGAGACGCGAAAGCGUGGGUAGCAAACAGGAUUAGAUACCCUGGUAGUCC
Molecule: ribosomal RNA, 292 nt
Filed under: uncultured bacterium
Lineage: Bacteria
Description: partial 16S ribosomal RNA
Rfam family: Bacterial small subunit ribosomal RNA
Source: RNAcentral